This 574-nucleotide ribosomal RNA is filed under the name uncultured Verrucomicrobiaceae bacterium. RNAcentral's name for it is "bacterial SSU rRNA". It matches the Rfam family "Bacterial small subunit ribosomal RNA", at positions 528 to 1099 of the family's 1533-position model. Lineage: Bacteria; Pseudomonadati; Verrucomicrobiota; Verrucomicrobiia; Verrucomicrobiales; Verrucomicrobiaceae. The record is from RNAcentral.
GAGGUCUCAAGCGUUGUUCGGAUUCAUUGGGCGUAAAGGGUGCGUAGGCGGCGCGGUAAGUCGGGUGUGAAAUCUCGGAGCUUAACUCCGAAACUGCAUUCGAUACUGCCGUGCUUGAGGACUGGAGAGGAGACUGGAAUUUACGGUGUAGCGGUGAAAUGCGUAGAUAUCGUAAGGAAGACCAGUGGCGAAGGCGGGUCUUUGGACAGUUCCUGACGCUGAGGCACGAAGGUCAGGGGAGCAAACGGGAUUAGAUACCCCGGUAGUCCUGACAGUAAACGGUGCACGUUUGGUGUGGGAGGAUUCGACCCCUUCUGCGCCGGAGCUAACGCGUUAAACGUGCCGCCUGGGGAGUACGGUCGCAAGAUUAAAACUCAAAGAAAUUGACGGGGGCCCGCACAAGCGGUGGAGUAUGUGGCUUAAUUCGAUGCAACGCGAAGAACCUUACCAGGCCUUGACAUGCAUCUCUAAGUUGGUGAAAGCCAGCGAGUCCCGAAAGGGACAAUUUGCACAGGUGCUGCAUGGCUGUCGUCAGCUCGUGUCGUGAGAUGUUGGGUUAAUCACUAGUGAAUUC